AUACGGAGGAUCCGAGCGUUAUCCGGAUUUAUUGGGUUUAAAGGGUGCGCAGGCGGCCAUUUAAGUCAGCGGUUAAAUCGUGGGGCUCAACCCCAUUCUGCCGUUGAUACUGGGUGGCUUGAUUGCGGUCGAGGUUGGCGGAAUUCGUUGUGUAGCGGUGAAAUGCAUAGAUAUGACGAAGAACACCGAUUGCGUAGGCAGCUGACCAGACCGCAAAUGACGCUCAUGCACGAAAGUGCGGGGAUCGAACAGGAUUAGAUACCCUGGUAGUCCGCACAGUAAACGAUGAAUACUUGUUUUCGGCGAUAUAAUGUCGGAGGCAAAGCGAAUGCGAUAAGUAUUGCACCUGGGGAGUACGCCGGCAACGGUGAAACUCAAAUGAAUUGACGGGG
This 392-nucleotide ribosomal RNA is filed under the name uncultured bacterium. RNAcentral's name for it is "partial 16S ribosomal RNA". It matches the Rfam family "Bacterial small subunit ribosomal RNA", at positions 523 to 918 of the family's 1533-position model. The record is from RNAcentral.